RNAcentral lists this ribosomal RNA (254 nucleotides) under uncultured bacterium. RNAcentral's name for it is "partial 16S ribosomal RNA". It matches the Rfam family "Bacterial small subunit ribosomal RNA", at positions 524 to 776 of the family's 1533-position model. The record is from RNAcentral.
UACGUAGGGUGCAAGCGUUAAUCGGAAUUACUGGGCGUAAAGCGUGCGCAGGCGGUUUUGUAAGUCUGAUGUGAAAUCCCCGGGCUCAACCUGGGAAUUGCAUUGGAGACUGCAAGGCUAGAAUCUGGCAGAGGGGGGUAGAAUUCCACGUGUGAGCAGUGAAAUGCGUAGAGAUGUGGAGGAAUACCGAUGGCGAAGGCAGCCCCCUGGGAUAACACUGACGCUCAUGCACGAAAGCGUGGGGAGCAAACAGG